RNAcentral lists this ribosomal RNA (253 nucleotides) under uncultured bacterium. RNAcentral describes it as "partial 16S ribosomal RNA". It matches the Rfam family "Bacterial small subunit ribosomal RNA", at positions 524 to 776 of the family's 1533-position model. The record is from RNAcentral.
UACGAAGGGUGCAAGCGUUACUCGGAAUUACUGGGCGUAAAGCGUGCGUAGGCGGUUUGUUAAGUCUGCUGUGAAAGCCCCGGGCUCAACCUGGGAACUGCAGUGGAAACUGGCAAGCUAGAGUGUGUCAGAGGAUGGUGGAAUUCCCGGUGUAGCGGUGAAAUGCGUAGAGAUCGGGAGGAACACCAUUUGCGAAGGCGGCUCUCUGGACCAGCACUGACACUGAGGCACGAAAGCGUGGGGAGCAAACAGG